UACGGGGGGGGCGAGCGUUGUCCGGAAUCACUGGGCGUAAAGGGCGCGUAGGCGGCCUGAUAAGUCGGGGGUGAAAGCCCGAGGCUCAACCUCGGAACUGCCUUCGAUACUGCGGGUCUCGAGUCCGGGAGAGGUGAGUGGAAUUCCUAGUGUAGAGGUGAAAUUCGUAGAUAUUAGGAAGAACACCAGUGGCGAAGGCGGCUCACUGGCCCGGUACUGACGCUGAGACGCGAAAGCGUGGGGAGCGAACAGG
This 253-nucleotide ribosomal RNA is filed under the name uncultured bacterium. RNAcentral's name for it is "partial 16S ribosomal RNA". It matches the Rfam family "Bacterial small subunit ribosomal RNA", at positions 524 to 776 of the family's 1533-position model. The record is from RNAcentral.